This 73-nucleotide transfer RNA is filed under the name bacterium. Its description in RNAcentral is "tRNA-Lys". It matches the Rfam family "tRNA". From Rfam's summary of the family: Transfer RNA (tRNA) molecules are approximately 80 nucleotides in length. Their secondary structure includes four short double-helical elements and three loops (D, anti-codon, and T loops). The record is from RNAcentral.
CCGCCCUUAGCUCAGUUGGUAGAGCAACUCCCUUUUAAGGAGAUGGUCGUUGGUUCGAAUCCAACAGGGCGGA